Molecule: ribosomal RNA, 497 nt
Filed under: uncultured bacterium
Lineage: Bacteria
Description: partial 16S ribosomal RNA
Rfam family: Bacterial small subunit ribosomal RNA
Source: RNAcentral
GAUGAACGCUGGCGGCGUGCCUAAUACAUGCAAGUCGAGCGAACAGAUGAGGAGCUUGCUCCUCUGACGUUAGCGGCGGACGGGUGAGUAACACGUGGAUCACCUACCUAUAAGACUGGGAUAACUUCGGGAAACCGGAGCUAAUACCGGAUAAUAUAUUGAACCGCAUGGUUCAAUAGUGAAAGACGGCUUUGCUGUCACUUAUAGAUGGAUCCGCGCCGCAUUAGCUAGUUGGUAAGGUAACGGCUUACCAAGGCAACGAUGCGUAGCCGACCUGAGAGGGUGAUCGGCCACACUGGAACUGAGACACGGUCCAGACUCCUACGGGAGGCAGCAGUAGGGAAUCUUCCGCAAUGGGCGAAAGCCUGACGGAGCAACGCCGCGUGAGUGAUGAAGGUCUUCGGAUCGUAAAACUCUGUUAUUAGGGAAGAACAAAUGUGUAAGUAACUAUGCACGUCUUGACGGUACCUAAUCAGAAAGCCACGGCUAACUACGUG